UGAAUACGAGACGCUAAGGCGUCGAAGUAGUGUAUGUCAUGCUUCCAAGAAAAGCUUGCACUGUCAUAGAUAAAAAACGCCUGUACCAUAACCGACACAGGUGGGUAGGUAGAGUAUACUAAGGGGCGCGAGAUAACUCUCUCUAAGGAACUCGGCAAAAUAACUCCGUAACUUCGGGAGAAGGAGUGCCUUAUUCUUAAGGUUGCAAUAACAAGAUCCAAGCAACUGUUUAUCAAAAACACAGGUCUCCGCUAAGUCGUAAGACGAUGUAUGGGGGCUGACGCCUGCCCAGUGCCAGAAGGUUAAAGAAGUUGGUUAGCAUUUGCGAAGCUGAUAACUGAAGCCCUGGUGAACGGCGGCCGUAACAAUAACGGUCCUAAGGUAGCGAAAUUCCUUGUCGGGUAAGUACCGACCCGCACGAAAGGCGUAAUGAUUUGGAUACUGUCUCGGAGAGGGGCUCGGUGAAAUAGACUUGUCUGUGAAGAUGCGGACUACCUGCACCAGGACAGAAAGACCCUAUGAAGCUUUACUGUAACUUGAAAUUGAAAUUGGACUUUAUUCGCGCAGCAUAGGUGGGAGGCGUUGAUUAUAAUCUCGUGGAUUAUUGGAGCCAUCAGUGAGAUACCACUCUUGUAAUGUUAGAUUUCUAACUUUGAAUCAUUAUCUGGUCAAAGAACAGUUUCAGGCGGGCAGUUUGACUGGGGCGGUCGCCUCCUAAACGGUAACGGAGGCGUACAAAGGUUUCCUCUGAACGGUUAGAAAUCGUAUCUAGAGUGUAAAGGCAUAAGGAAGCUUGACUGUGAGACCUACAAGUCGAGCAGGGACGAAAGUCGGUCUUAGUGAUCUGACGGUACUGAGUGGAAAGGCCGUCACUCAACGGAUAAAAGUUACUCUAGGGAUAACAGGCUGAUCUCCCCCAAGAGUUCACAUCGACGGGGAGGUUUGGCACCUCGAUGUCGGCUCAUCGCAUCCUGGGGCGGUAGUACGUCCCAAGGGUUGGGCUGUUCGCCCAUGAAAGCAGUACGCGAGCUGGGUUUAGAACGUCGUGAGACAGUUCGGUCCAUAUCCGGUGUAGGCGUUAGAAUAUUGAGAGGAGCCUUCUUUAGUACGAGAGGACCGAGAAGGACAUACCUCUGGUGUACCAGUUAUCGUGCCAACGGUAAACGCUGGGUAGCUAUGUAUGGAGUGGAUAACCGCUGAAAGCAUCUAAGUGGGAAGCCCACCUCAAGAUAAGUAUUCCC
This 1241-nucleotide ribosomal RNA is filed under the name metagenome. Its description in RNAcentral is "bacterial LSU rRNA". It matches the Rfam family "Bacterial large subunit ribosomal RNA", at positions 1564 to 2815 of the family's 2925-position model. The record is from RNAcentral.